GGCUUGAUAGUACCAGAAGAGGAAGAGACGGCUAACUCUGUGCCAGCAGCCGCGGUAAUACAGAGGUCUCAAGCGUUGUUCGGAUUCAUUUGGCGUAAAGGGUGUGUAGGUGGCGCCGUAAGUCGGGUGUGAAAUCUCGGGGCUUAACUCCGAAACUGCAUUCGAUACUGCGGUGCUUGAGGACUGGAGAGGAGACUGGAAUUCAUGGUGUAGCAGUGAAAUGCGUAGAGAUCAUGAGGAAGACCAGUGGCGAAGGCGGGUCUCUGGACAGUUCCUGACACUGAGACACGAAGGCCAGGGGAGCAAACGGGAUUAGAUACCCCGGUAGUCCUGGCAGUAAACGGUGCACGUUUGGUGUGGGAGGAUUCGACCCCUUCUGCGCCGGAGCUAACGCGUUAAACGUGCCGCCUGGGGAGUACGGUCGCAAGAUUAAAACUCAAAGAAAUUGACGGGGGCCCGCACAAGCGGUGGAGUAUGUGGCUUAAUUCGAUGCAACGCGAAGAACCUUACCUGGCCUUGACAUGCAUCUCUAAGCUGGUGAAAGCCAGUACUCUCGAAAGGGAGAAUUU
RNAcentral lists this ribosomal RNA (569 nucleotides) under uncultured Verrucomicrobium sp. RNAcentral describes it as "bacterial SSU rRNA". It matches the Rfam family "Bacterial small subunit ribosomal RNA", at positions 466 to 1032 of the family's 1533-position model. Lineage: Bacteria; Pseudomonadati; Verrucomicrobiota; Verrucomicrobiia; Verrucomicrobiales; Verrucomicrobiaceae. The record is from RNAcentral.